RNAcentral lists this ribosomal RNA (497 nucleotides) under uncultured bacterium. RNAcentral describes it as "partial 16S ribosomal RNA". It matches the Rfam family "Bacterial small subunit ribosomal RNA", at positions 28 to 507 of the family's 1533-position model. The record is from RNAcentral.
GAUGAACGCUGGCGGCGUGCCUAAUACAUGCAAGUCGAGCGAACAGACGAGGAGCUUGCUCCUCUGACGUUAGCGGCGGACGGGUGAGUAACACGUGGAUAACCUACCUAUAAGACUGGGAUAACUUCGGGAAACCGGAGCUAAUACCGGAUAAUAUAUUGAACCGCAUGGUUCAAUAGUGAAAGACGGUUUUGCUGUCACUUAUAGAUGGAUCCGCGCUGCAUUAGCUAGUUGGUAAGGUAACGGCUUACCAAGGCAACGAUGCGUAGCCGACCUGAGAGGGUGAUCGGCCACACUGGAACUGAGACACGGUCCAGACUCCUACGGGAGGCAGCAGUAGGGAAUCUUCCGCAAUGGGCGAAAGCCUGACGGAGCAACGCCGCGUGAGUGAUGAGGGUCUUCGGAUCGUAAAACUCUGUUAUUAGGGAAGAACAAAUGUGUAAGUAACUAUGCACGUCUUGACGGUACCUAAUCAGAAAGCCACGGCUAACUACGUG